This is an RNA transcript of Myzus persicae (green peach aphid), 1414 nucleotides long. It is a transcript of the gene named vesicle transport protein GOT1B, with no coding region annotated. The record is from RefSeq and is a predicted model, not a curated record. NCBI's taxonomy places the organism in Eukaryota, Metazoa, Arthropoda, Insecta, Hemiptera, Aphididae. The transcript has 6 exons.
AAACAAUAUCAGCUUUUGGAUCAAAAUCAAUCAACACAUUUUAUCAUAGCUGUUAUCAAAUUUAAAUCGUGGAAUAUAAAUAUUAUAUUACUAUUAUUAUGCUCUCAAGACCCAAAUGUCAAGCCCAACAAGUCUAGUCGCCACCGCGAAUUAAGAUGUUUUAAUUUUCAGUAUUUACAAUUUUCCAAUAUAAUAUUUACUAUAAUCACAAUAUUUUAAUUUAUUAUACUAUAUUGUUAUUUGUUCACGAUUUUUGUACUUAACUUCUGAAGUACCGUACUGAGUACUUGGCUGUCGUUAAAUAAAAUGGUACAUAAUAUGACUUCGUAACACAGUGUUGAAAGGUUUUUUAUAAUAUUUGUGUUAUUAAUAAUGAUUUCUAAAUAUAUUUUUCUGUGACGAAAUUUCUUUCAAAUGUCUUCAAUGUUUGAAAUAACUGAUUUACAAAAAAUCGGAGUCGGCUUGGCAGGUUUUGGAAUAUCGUUUCUAUUCCUGGGCAUGUUAUUGCUGUUUGACAAAGGACUAUUAGCCAUUGGCAAUAUAUUGUUCAUAGUGGGUCUUAGCUGUGUUAUUGGUGUACAACGGACUUUAAAGUUCUUUUUCCAGAGGCAAAAAAUUAAAGCAUCUCUGUCGUUUUUUGGCGGGAUAUCAGUCGUUCUUUUUGGAUGGCCAAUCGUAGGAAUGCUAUUAGAAAUUUAUGGAUUUAUACUUUUGUUCAGUGGUUUUUUUCCAGUAGCAAUAAAUUUCAUGCGCCGUGUACCAUUAUUGGGGACUUUACUCAAUUUGCCUGGCAUAACUGGACUGUUAGAUCGAGUAGCGGGUGAUACGAGACGUACGAUGGUAUGAUUAACCAUUACAAAUAUUACAAUCAAAUAAAUUACUUCAUAACAUUUUGAUAUGACUUCAGUUGAUGUUAUACUUAAGUUAUUACGACAUAAUUCCUUCUAACUGGACAUUCCUGGGCUACUUGCUUCCAGUUACCUAUUUUACUGUGACUAAAUUACAUAAUUCAGUAUAUUAUAAUAUUAUCAAUAAAUUUAAUUAUAUUGAUAAUAAAUUUUAUUUUAUAAAUUCUCUAUUACAAAUUUAUUUUCAUUAUAUACAACUAAUUUUUAAGUUACUAGCCUUAACCUAAUGCGCAACAUUUGAUUUGAUAUCAAUAUAUAUUAUACAUUAAUUGUUAUUUUAUAAGACCAACUGUGUAUUAUUUGUAUUAUAAUAUGAUGUAUGUGGAACUUAAUCAUUAAGCCCAAAAACUCUCAUAAUUAAUGUCUUAAGUUAUGUCAACCCCCACUUGUUUCUCUGGACAUUGUGAACAUAAACAAAAUGUAGUCACACAAAAUCAUUUUUAACAUGUUAAAAUGAUGUUACAUGAAUGAGUUUUAUCUAUGUUGCUCUUGGGUUUGAGACAGAA